This 430-nucleotide ribosomal RNA is filed under the name uncultured bacterium. RNAcentral describes it as "bacterial SSU rRNA". It matches the Rfam family "Bacterial small subunit ribosomal RNA", at positions 80 to 507 of the family's 1533-position model. The record is from RNAcentral.
CUAGAUGCUGACGAGUGGCGGACGGGUGAGUAACGCGUGGGAAUCUGCCUUCUAGUGGGGGAUAGCCCGGAGAAAUCCGGAUUAAUACCGCAUACGCCUACGGGGAAGGCCGGGGAGUCUUCGGACCUGGCGCUAGUAGAUGAGCCCGCGUGAGAUUAGCUUGUUGGUGGGGUAAUGGCCUACCAAGGCAACGAUCUCUAGCUGGUCUGAGAGGACGAUCAGCCACACUGGGACUGAGACACGGCCCAGACUCCUACGGGAGGCAGCAGUGGGGGAAUAUUGGACAAUGGGCGAAAGCCUGAUCCAGCAAUGCCGCGUGUGUGAAGAAGGCCUGAGGGUUGUAAAGCACUUUCAAUCGUGAAGAAAAGUUGCAGGCUAAUACCCUGUGACCUUGACGUUAACGAUACAAGAAGCACCGGCUAACUCCGUG